CACAUUACUGGGCAUAUGACUUGAGUCGGCAUCCAUACACGCAAGUUACCACAAGACAAAUAGGGAACAUUCUCAACUAAAUCAAUCACUACCUCCUGCUUGGUACUUACAACUACAAGGAACUACAAUCCCUACCAGGUUCCUUAAUUUUGCCAUGCCAAUCAUACCACAAGACCACGCUUUCACAUCCAGAGUACUUUCCCCUUUUUUCCACACUUCCAACAUG
Non-coding RNA from Pelobates cultripes (western spadefoot toad), 226 nucleotides. Lineage: Eukaryota; Metazoa; Chordata; Amphibia; Anura; Pelobatidae. The record is from the annotation of a GenBank genome assembly.